UACGUAGGGUGCGAGCGUUGUCCGGAAUUAUUGGGCGUAAAGGGCUCGUAGGCGGUUUGUCGCGUCGGGAGUGAAAACCAUGGGCUUAACUCAUGGCUUGCUUCCGAUACGGGCAGACUAGAGGCAUGCAGGGGAGAGCGGAAUUCCUGGUGUAGCGGUGAAAUGCGCAGAUAUCAGGAGGAACACCGGUGGCGAAGGCGGUUCUCUGGGCAUGUCCUGACGCUGAGGAGCGAAAGUGUGGGGAGCGAACAGG
RNAcentral lists this ribosomal RNA (253 nucleotides) under uncultured bacterium. RNAcentral describes it as "partial 16S ribosomal RNA". It matches the Rfam family "Bacterial small subunit ribosomal RNA", at positions 524 to 776 of the family's 1533-position model. The record is from RNAcentral.